GAAAGGUUUCUCUGACCAAAGCAGCCUGAGAAUCCUGCACACCUGAGCCCCCUGUGUGAUUCCUUGGAGACUGUGGUGUCUUGAAGCACAGCCAAGGACCAAGAGUCACCUGGUGCCCUUCCUUCUGCCAGGUAAAGCAGAGGAAUAAACAGCUGGAAUCCGCUAUGAUCUGUUUAGAAAACAGGAUGUGGGUGACCCCACGUUUGCAAAGCUGGCUGUCAACCAUGUUCUGCACAGUGAUGUCACACCACUGCAAACCUUUCUGUAGGCAGCCACCUGUUUUCAUGUAUUGAUCCUAAUCUUGAAACAUCUGUUCAUGGCAGAUGAUAUUGUUUUGAAUUUCAACUUUAGUGCAACCAUGUAUAAUAAAUACAUUUACAUUG
Molecule: long non-coding RNA, 383 nt
Organism: Mesocricetus auratus (golden hamster)
Lineage: Eukaryota; Metazoa; Chordata; Mammalia; Rodentia; Cricetidae
Exons: 2
Source: RefSeq, a predicted model, not a curated record